This 668-nucleotide long non-coding RNA is filed under the name Populus tremula. Its description in RNAcentral is "long non-coding RNA (PTRE_LNC000527)". Lineage: Eukaryota; Viridiplantae; Streptophyta; Magnoliopsida; Malpighiales; Salicaceae. The record is from RNAcentral.
UGCAGAUGGUUGUUUUGGGUAAGGGAGUGGAUUGGUCGAAGGUGGUGUAGGCUGCAUAAGUGAAUGUGUUGUUCAACUGGCUUUGUCGAGAGUGGGAGCAAGAGAUGAUCGUUGGUGUAUGGGAAAUGAGGCUGCGUUAGUGUUGCAAGAAAAAGGAAAUGAGACCACAUGAAGAUGGUGGGAUUUGAAGGCUAUACCUCCUGGCUAGAAACUGUCCGGUCAGGAUAUGGGGAAAGAGCUAGAGGACAAGAUCGCAAGGGGUGAGGUGGUGCUAACCAGGCAGAAGAGGGGAGCACCUCCGGCAAGAUUUUUCUCUCCAGGAAACCUUCGACUCUUUCUUUCUCAACAUUUUUUCUCAAGUCCCCUAAACCCUCCCUUCUUGCAAAUUGAUCCUCAAGCGCAACUCUUUCCUCCAACGUAGUCCCUCGAUGAAAAACCUUAAUGGCCACAAUCAGAUCACCGUACCUAGAGACACAACAAACAUUUUCUUGUCUUGCUUGCUGGUACAAUUGUUUUUCCUAACAUGUGUUCUGCUUGGUUCUUAUUUUCCUUAUUUUAGGUAUCUGAUUUGCCUUUGGUUUACUAGCAGCAAGUUCAGUGUCCCCCCUUAGUACAAUGCAUAAUUCAUUUUGUACUCUUUCUUUAUUUUAUUUUGUUCAUUCAUGUCC